This 440-nucleotide ribosomal RNA is filed under the name uncultured bacterium. RNAcentral's name for it is "partial 16S ribosomal RNA". It matches the Rfam family "Bacterial small subunit ribosomal RNA", at positions 338 to 795 of the family's 1533-position model. The record is from RNAcentral.
CCUACGGGGGGCUGCAGUGGGGAAUAUUGCACAAUGGGGGAAACCCUGAUGCAGCGACGCCGCGUGAGUGAAGAAGUAUUUCGGUAUGUAAAGCUCUAUCAGCAGGGAAGAAAAUGACGGUACCUGAUUAAGAAGCCCCGGCAAACUACGGGCCAGCAGCCGCGGUAAUACGUAGGGGGCAAGCGUUAUCCGGAUUUACUGGGUGGAAAGGGAGCGUAGACGGCAGCACAAGUCUGGAGUGAAAUGCCGGGGCUUAACCCCGGAACUGCUUUGGAAACUGGGCAGCUAGAGUGCAGGAGGGGUAAGUGGAAUUCCUGGUGUAGCGGUGAAAUGCGUAGAUAUUAGGAGGAACACCAGUGGCGGAGGCGGCUUACUGGACUGUAACUGACGUUGAGGCUCGAAAGCGUGGGGAGCAAACAGGAUUAGAUACCCUUGUAGUC